UCCUUAGAGUUCGAGGCCAGAUCGAUAAUCCCAAUGCCAGAUCCAUGGUUUCUUUCCUUGAAGUAGAACCUCGGUACCGUAUCAGUGUUUGCUUCCCCUGCUGAGUCAUCUCUCGCGGAUCGUGGUUUCCAGAACCACUAUCGCUUUCCCCAACAGCAGGUUUUCAAUGUCGUUCUCUCCCCAGUCAGAAUCUCGACAUUUCAUCAUUGC
This 210-nucleotide long non-coding RNA is filed under the name Lathyrus oleraceus (garden pea). RNAcentral describes it as "Pisum sativum (pea) long non-coding RNA (PSAT_LNC025542)". Lineage: Eukaryota; Viridiplantae; Streptophyta; Magnoliopsida; Fabales; Fabaceae. The record is from RNAcentral.